RNAcentral lists this long non-coding RNA (1212 nucleotides) under Numida meleagris (helmeted guineafowl). RNAcentral's name for it is "lncRNA (ENSNMEG00000002783.1)". The record is from RNAcentral. Lineage: Eukaryota; Metazoa; Chordata; Aves; Galliformes; Numididae.
NNNNNNNNNNNNNNNNNNNNNNNNNNGGUCAAGCAAUUGUAGAACGAGCUCAUAGAACUGUGAAAACUUAUUUGGAAAAGUUUAAAAUCACUGAUCCAGUGUUAAAGCUUAGUCACGUAUUGUUCACUAUAAAUUACCUUUGUGUGUUUGGGGAAAAUCUUGAGCCUCCGGCUUUACGACAUCAGGUUAAGACUAUGGAAAACACCAAUACCCCAAAGCAGCAAAAAAUGUAUGUUAUGUAUCGUGACAUGCAAACAGGAAAAUGGACGGGUCCAGCAGCUGUUCAAUAUUUAGGUCGCGGGUAUAUGUCUGUUCUCACUCCUACAGGAUCCGUCUGGGUCCCCUCCAGAUGGACUCGUCCUGCUCUGCGCUCUGCUGACACUGAUGAACGGGAGGAUAACAGCCUCGAGUCCAUUGCUUCACUCUUCCAUGAUAACAUCAGAAGUUAAUGUUUGGGUAACUUGGGCUACUAAAACUAAUAACCCUGAUUUUUGUCUUAGUCUUCAAUCUGCGGGGGAACCGUUCCGUACUUGUUUAAUCGGGUGGCCAGGAUAUAAUGUAUCUGAUUUUUUUCGUUUCAGUAGGGAUACCAUUCACUGUGCCAAGGUCAAGGACGUUGCUACACAAAGUGCAUGUUUGAUACAAAGUCUUAAUAACUCUUUGCCCUGGGACCCGCAGGAAUUAGAUUUAUUAGGCUCUAGGAGAGUUAAUAAUCCCGAUGGGAAAAAUACAACCUGCCUUCUGUUUGGGCAGGGUACUGUUGCUGACAGGAUUGCUUAUUUGUAUCCGAAGCUUUGGGACAUUAGGCCAUAUUACAAGUAUCAGUCAUGGACUGGGGUGUUCCCACGUAACUUAAGGGCUUUUAAUUGGCCAACCUAUUGUGGUGGGGAUUUUCAGAAAGGAAAUGCAUAUGGGAUGAAGCUCGAAGAGACACUGACUAAUAGUGGAUCUGCAAAGGCGUUACCACCUGGGAUCUUUCUUAUAUGUGGGGAUAGAGCUUGGGCUGGUAUUCCCAAAAAUGUUGUGGGGGGUCCUUGCUACAUAGGAAAAUUAACAUUGUUUGCCCCGAAACAGCAGCAGUGGUUAACAAUAGGUGAUAAACUUAGAAAUGUUUCCCACGAGGAGCCUCGGUCUCUUCAACUCCUCGACAGUACUUGCUCCGAUGAGGUACAGCUGUGGAGCGUGACUGCCAGGAUUUUUGCCUCAUUCCUA